This 157-nucleotide ribosomal RNA is filed under the name uncultured bacterium. RNAcentral's name for it is "partial 16S ribosomal RNA". It matches the Rfam family "Bacterial small subunit ribosomal RNA", at positions 355 to 509 of the family's 1533-position model. The record is from RNAcentral.
UGAGGAAUAUUGGUCAAUGGGCGGGAGCCUGAACCAGCCAAGUAGCGUGAAGGACGACGGCCCUACGGGUUGUAAACUUCUUUUAUAAGGGAAUAAAGUGCGUUACGUGUAAUGUUUUGUAUGUACCUUAUGAAUAAGCAUCGGCUAAUUCCGUGCC